UCGCCCCUACUCAAAAAUUUAUGCCAAAACAUGCCAAAAAAAUAUGGGAUGCCCCUUCCCAUAUUUUUCAUGGUAAAUCAAUUCUCCAACUAAUUUUUCAUAAAAAAUCUCCUCAAAAUGUCUCACAUAUAAGGAGAAAAAAAUAAGUUGGCCGCAAGGUCUUAGAAAUAAUGUCAAACAUUAUCUAUAUGGUAUCUUAUUUCAAAUCAGAUUUGAACAUACUAUUUAAAAUUUGAUUCUACCCAAAUUUGGAUGUGAGAUAAAGAAGGAAAAGGACUCUUUGGCAUG
This 288-nucleotide long non-coding RNA is filed under the name Elaeis guineensis (African oil palm). Its description in RNAcentral is "long non-coding RNA (EGUI_LNC028152)". The record is from RNAcentral. Lineage: Eukaryota; Viridiplantae; Streptophyta; Magnoliopsida; Arecales; Arecaceae.